UCGUGAGUAGUUCACUUCAGACCUACGGGUCCGUAGUUAGUAGUUAGAUGGCUUCUUCUCUCUCUUGGAUCUUCAAUACAAAGUUCUCCAUGAUCUUCAUGGAGAUCUAUCCGAUGUAAUCUUCUUUGGCGGUGUGUUUGUCGAGAUCCGAUGAAUUGUGGAUUUGUGAUCAGAUUAUCUAUGAUAUAUAUUUGAGUCUUUGCUGAUUUCUUAUAUGCAUGAUUUGAUAUCCUUGUAAGUCUCUCCGAGUCUUGGGUUUUGUUUGGCCAACUAGAU
Molecule: long non-coding RNA, 276 nt
Filed under: Hordeum vulgare
Lineage: Eukaryota; Viridiplantae; Streptophyta; Magnoliopsida; Poales; Poaceae
Description: long non-coding RNA (HVUL_LNC005495)
Source: RNAcentral